AGUGAACGCUGGCGGUAGGCCUAACACAUGCAAGUCGAACGGCAGCACAGUAAGAGCUUGCUCUUACGGGUUGCGAGUCGCGGACGGGAGAGGAAUACAUCGGAAUCUACUUUUUCGGGGGGGAUAACGUAGGGGAACUUACGCUAAUACCGCAUACGACCUUCGGGUGAAAGCAGGGGAGCUUCGGACCUUGCGCGGUUGAAUCGGCCGAUGUCGGAUUUGCUAGUGGGCGGGGUAAAGGCCCACUAAGGCGACGAUCGGUCUCUGGUGUGGGAGGAUGAUAAGCGACACUGGAAGUGAUACACGGUCAAUACUCCUACGGGAGGCAGCAGUGGGGAAUAUUGGACAAUGGGCGCAAGCAUGAUCCAGUCAUAGCGAGUGGGUGACGAAGGCCUUCGGGUUGUAAAGCCCUUCUGUUGGGAAAGAAAAGCAGCAGGUUAAUACCCCGCUGUUCUGACGGUACCUAAAGAAUAAGCACCGGCUAACUUCGUG
Molecule: ribosomal RNA, 492 nt
Filed under: uncultured bacterium
Lineage: Bacteria
Description: partial 16S ribosomal RNA
Rfam family: Bacterial small subunit ribosomal RNA
Source: RNAcentral